AGGCCAGCAUCGGUUUCCGUAGGGGGAUAAAAACUUUAGGAAUGUGGCUCUUCGGAGUGUUAUAGCCUAUUGUAUAAUACCCUUAUGGGGACCGAGGUACGCGCUCUGCAAGGAUGCUGGCGUAAUGGUCAUCAA
Molecule: ribosomal RNA, 135 nt
Filed under: Xylariaceae sp.
Lineage: Eukaryota; Fungi; Ascomycota; Sordariomycetes; Xylariales; Xylariaceae
Description: partial large subunit ribosomal RNA
Source: RNAcentral